Molecule: long non-coding RNA, 1782 nt
Organism: Gorilla gorilla gorilla (western lowland gorilla)
Lineage: Eukaryota; Metazoa; Chordata; Mammalia; Primates; Hominidae
Exons: 5
Source: RefSeq, a predicted model, not a curated record
GCUCUGGAAGUCAGUCAGGCUCCGGAAGUCAAGUUCCGAAAGUCAGUAAGGCCUCGGAAGUCAAGUCCUGGAAAUUGGCCUUGCAAUCAUUAGGUGGAGAUAUUGUUUGUUCUGUGCUCAGAAUUCCCUGGAGUGAGACUCAGGACAAUAUUAAAUCCAAUGAAUCACGCAGCUUUCAGGAGGGCAGGGCAGCACGCUGCAGAGCAGCACUGAAUGAUGGCUUGGCCUGGCGUCCCUGGUGGCAGCAGUGGCCGCACCAGGCACCGUGUUCUCAUUCAACAAAGACUCAGAAUCUUCCUGGUUUGUGGAAAGAGUGCUAUUCUGACAUUGGAUGCUGCUGAGAAUCGGGCAACAGUCUUAGUGAGGUGACCAUCAUCUGAGGAGUUUUGAUGUGAGGACUGUGAACAUCUCCAGAACAGGAGACAUUUGGAAGAGCUUGUGCCCACUGGUAUCUGAAACUUGGCUGCUCAUUCUUCAGAAACCCCUUGUAUCCUGCUAUGAUUCCUCAGCAACACCGUCACAUGGAAAAGAACCAACAAUGUGAAGAAACGAAUAUGGUGUUCAUUUUCAAACUGGAAAAGGAAAUAAUUACAGUUACUAUUUACAGUGUCUGGCUUUUCAAGCUUCAUGCUACAAGCAGCUAACUCUUUGUCAAACAAUUAAUUUUGUUUAAAAUAAAUAAGUUUAUAUAUUUAAGGUCGUGUUUCAGAAGUAAAACCAGAACUAUGGUUUUUAUUGAGUUAUAAAAUUAGUUGGGGAAAAGGUAAUGCAUCCAAAACAACUCUUGAGAUCUGCCGUGUAGAAUUUUAAGUAUCAGUGUAAAUUAAAAGCAGAUUCACAGAGAGUUCUAUGAAACCGAGUUCCCUUUUAAGUUGAGGGUGCCAGAUUGGAUCAUUUCUCAGGUUUCUCACAGCUUUUAAAUACAAUAAGUAAAAGCCCAGUGAGUUAUCAAAGAGAUCUGUGACCAGUAUGACUUUAGUGUUCCAGCGUGAUUUGAGCAUAUACAUCACUGACUGAUUUUUUUUAGUGGUCAAAAAUACAUUUGACAAUGUGCCAACAAAAUUUUUCUCAAAUCAUGCCAUAUAUCAUUGGUUUAGCAGAGGUUACAAUUCAUAGCAAUAAGUUUUGUGCCUUUUAUUCUGAAUUUCACAGUCUUUUAAGAAAGCAUCUUGACUGAUAAUUGGCUGAAAGACCAUAAACAAAAUCAAUGAAAAUUAACAUCAAUGAAAAUAAAUGUAGUCAAGGUGGUGGCCACUGGAAUAACAGGAGCCCUGAAGUUAAGUUUUAUUUAGCAUUCUUCUUCUUUCUCAGAAAGAAAAACAAUAAACACAUAGCAAAUUAAAUAUGUGAUCCCAAAACCAACUAUAUCCAAAAAUUCUUGGCUAAAAACUUGUAGAUAUACUUUCAAGAAGUGGAAAAAUGGAAGAAAAUGAUUCCCUUAAGCUAACAAAUGAGAAAAUAGUUAAUAUGGGGCCUUAUCCUUUCUGUGGCUGGUGGCUCUCUGGUUGCAGAUUGUGUGCACAGGGAAGGACAAUGCCUCUUUCGUGUUAUGAGGGGUCAUGAGCCACCGUGGGAAGGAGAGAACUCAGUAUUACCUGCGGUUAACUAGAUGAAGCAAAAGUUGUUUUAAUUAGGUUGGUUCUCCCAGCUCCCUUCCCCCAAUCCCAGCAUCCAUCUACUGGUAAAAUAGGGCUAGGCACCAUUGAAGAAUGUAGGAUGGAGCUUCCAAUAAGCUGAAAGUAGUCAAGCUUAGGGUCAGGGAUUCACUGAUGAUGGGAGAAA